Parus major (Great Tit) is the source of this 816-nucleotide long non-coding RNA. RefSeq lists it as uncharacterized. The record is from RefSeq and is a predicted model, not a curated record. Lineage: Eukaryota; Metazoa; Chordata; Aves; Passeriformes; Paridae. The transcript is spliced from 2 exons.
GCCACACCGCUGAUAAGGGCACCAGGCAGACUGGGGCAAGAGCGAUGUGACGCAAUCCCGUCUGGCCUGCUGCCAUCUGUGCCCACUCAGAUGGAAAGCCUGCAAACAGAGCUACAGACCCCUAGAGCAGAGAGGUGUAACCAGGGCUUAUGAUGUGAUGAGCAGUCCUGUGUGAGUGCAUGGAUGUGGGCCAGGGGGUACCACUGGUGUGGCACAGGCGCAAAGGCAGGGGCAGUGCUGCGAGGGAGCAGGCCCAAGACUGGUUUCAGAAGUAGAAGUCCACUUGUUGCCACUGUCGCCAGCAGAUUUUAUGUGUCUUGCUGGUGGUGACACUAGGCUUUCAGGUCCUCAGGCAAGCCCAGAGCCUUCACAUAUCCCCAUCCUAUGUCUUGAAGCCUUCUACAUCACCAUCUUGCUGGUGUGAGCAUAGGGAGAAAAUGCAGAGCCAGCUGGAGCUCCAGAGCCAAUGUGAGCAUAUCAUUCUAAUCUGCUUUGUGAAGACAGUGGAAUUUGAAUACCACUGAGGAAUGAGACUAAGGAAGAUCAAGCCUUAUAUCAGCCAACAGCUUUCCUACAGCACCACUGCUUGGUGCCUCCAGCACAGAAAGGAAGCAGACAUUUCCUGCCACCCUCUAUCCAAGGAGAGGGAUCUGGAGUACACAACAAUGUGUUCCAGCAGCACUGUCCCAGCCUGUUGUUCCUGCACUGCUGCUGGCAUGACCAAAGAGCCAGGCCAUGCUUGGAAUCAGAAGCAUUGGAGGUGGCACCAGAGGCAUUUGGAUGGGGUUUUUUUUGUAAUAAAAGCUUUGAAGAAGA